RNAcentral lists this unclassified non-coding RNA (1379 nucleotides) under Hevea brasiliensis (rubber tree). The record is from RNAcentral. Lineage: Eukaryota; Viridiplantae; Streptophyta; Magnoliopsida; Malpighiales; Euphorbiaceae.
GUCAAACAAUGAGCAGCUCUAAUUAGUCGAGAUGCAAGCACCCUACCAAAAUUUGCCUCCUCCAAGGAAUAUAUACGUAGCUCAUACAUAACCGGGUGGGCUGCAAUUGGAUGUCUGGUAGGUGAAGUUGCAGCAUCGUGACGAAAUUGUCCAUGGAAACCAGGAUCAGCUUCCAUGCCAUGACUAAUACAAGCAACACAAGCUGCUAAAAAUCUUCCACAUGGUGAAAAGUGGGCACCCAUUUCACUACAGAGCACAGCAUGUGGUAUAAUUAAGCGACAUUUUUCAGCAUCAAGCGGCGCACAUGGAACCUUAAUAUCAUAAGGCCACACUCUGAGUUUCACAGUACAAGGUAAUUCAGAAGAAGCUGCUGCAGUCAGGGAAGUAGCUAUCUCUGACUGGAACCGACUCAUAAGAGCUUGAGAAUCACUUUCAUUAUGUGCAAUGUUAAUGGGAACAGCACUAUCACCAGAUCCAGCAACAGGUAUUACUCUAGAGCGUGAAGAACGGUGCCGGGAACCAGAUCUUCCAGACCUUGGAUGAUUACCGUUUGAAAUGAUGGACGGAACUGCAGGACGAUGUUCUACUUCACCAUAAGCUGAUACAAUGUUUGUGGCACCACUAUGCUCAGAAUGAAUCGCUUGUCGGCCUGCUUGGCUUUGGCCAAUCAACCAUCCUUGCAAGAAUGGUAAGUCCCAGUAUGCAGGGUCACUGAAAGGAAAAAACUGAUUGUUUCUCUCCUCAGUCGGCGCAUCAGUCUCCAUAGGAUCACCAACAGGGUUAGAUGCAUUCUCUGUAUCCCUAACAGAGGAACUAGUCUGAGCUUCUUGCGCAGGAGAUAAAGUUGGCUCAACAGGGGACAAUAAAAGUUCAUACUGGCCAGAAGGAGUUGAGUAAGUGAGAAGUCUGACAGAGGCAGAAGUGUCUGCUCUGUUCUGUGUACUGUCAGAACCCAUGUCUGCAUUACUCUGCUGCAAAGGCAUUCUAGGAUCACCUCUAGCGAUUGAUGGCCAGAUCAUGAACGGUAGAGACAUGAUAGGCAAUUCAUUCGCUGAAGCAGAUCGAUAAGUGGAGUGAGCAUCUGUCAAAUACACAGUAGGAGGAGGAUACCGCAAGUUACCCAGAGAAGUUGUAAAUGUCAUUAAAGGAUCUGAUGAGUCCAGAUCAUUGACCUCAGCUGUUAAAAGAUAUGGGGCGCCAUGUGGGUGGAAAUGCACAGCACGAAGUGAACGUCUUGUCUUUAGUAUGAUAGCUGGUGAAGAUGCCUCCCCUCUUCUGUUGUAGUGCCACAUAUACAGCUUGUGCCCUGAAGCAACAGCGAGAACUUCCCCUUGGGCAUGGAAGGCAAUGGAUGCAAUAGGUCGGUAAAAAUCACGUGA